This 250-nucleotide ribosomal RNA is filed under the name uncultured bacterium. RNAcentral describes it as "partial 16S ribosomal RNA". It matches the Rfam family "Bacterial small subunit ribosomal RNA", at positions 524 to 773 of the family's 1533-position model. The record is from RNAcentral.
UACGAGUUGUGCAAACGUUAUUCGGAAUCACUGGGCUUAAAGGGUGCGUAGGCGGCUACGAAAGUCAGGUGUGAAAUCCCUCGGCUCAACCGAGGAACUGCGCUUGAAACUGUGUAGCUAGAGGGAGACAGAGGUGAGCGGAACUGAUGGUGGAGCGGUGAAAUGCGUUGAUAUCAUCAGGAACACCGGUGGCGAAAGCGGCUCACUGGGUCUUUUCUGACGCUGAGGCACGAAAGCCAGGGGAGCAAAC